GAAAAUGUAAACAACAAAGAUCGGGCCCCGGUUCCGGACCCAGCGUACCCGCCCUACCAUGAGACGAUCACCUCCACUCGUCUCCCUCAUUUUGGCCACUAAAUGGCCUAUAUUAGCCCGUGUCGGCCAUAAUGCCUACUCUCCCCAACAAUAUUAUUUUAGCCGUUCAUGAUUUCUUUCAAUAGCUGUUUAGGAUCUCAUGCAAGCGGAUAAUUCAUUAACUUCACAGGUGCGUAUAAUGGUUUGUGUACUCUUAUAAUUAUUGGCAUUAAUAUUUCUUUUAUUUCUGUCCAAUUUGCACGAGGUCUCUAUUCAGGUAAAUUCGUAUUCAUGCACGUGAACAUUUCUUCUCCAAAAUUAAUUUUUUUAUUUUUUAUACAACACUGAAUGGAACAGGCGACGAAAUACUACAAGGAUAUUGCUAGUCGCCGCAAAAGAAACGCGCAAGGAGGCACUUUAGAGGCAAUCAUUGCGCCGAUUUAGGAACAAUGGCCCACACAAUUACUUAAAACUGGAGCUCUCUGGGGGUGGUAAGGGGCGAUAUAAAUGC
Molecule: long non-coding RNA, 550 nt
Organism: Drosophila novamexicana
Lineage: Eukaryota; Metazoa; Arthropoda; Insecta; Diptera; Drosophilidae
Exons: 5
Source: RefSeq, a predicted model, not a curated record